This 541-nucleotide ribosomal RNA is filed under the name Pichia kudriavzevii. Its description in RNAcentral is "eukaryotic LSU rRNA". The stretch from base 1 to 304 matches the Rfam family "Eukaryotic large subunit ribosomal RNA", at positions 38 to 358 of the family's 3401-position model. The record is from RNAcentral. Lineage: Eukaryota; Fungi; Ascomycota; Pichiomycetes; Pichiales; Pichiaceae.
GCAUAUCAAUAAGCGGAGGAAAAGAAACCAACAGGGAUUGCCUCAGUAGCGGCGAGUGAAGCGGCAAGAGCUCAGAUUUGAAAUCGUGCUUUGCGGCACGAGUUGUAGAUUGCAGGUUGGAGUCUGUGUGGAAGGCGGUGUCCAAGUCCCUUGGAACAGGGCGCCCAGGAGGGUGAGAGCCCCGUGGGAUGCCGGCGGAAGCAGUGAGGCCUUCUGACGAGUCGAGUGUUGGGAUGAGUCCAGCGGUGGAAUUCCUCUAAGGUANNAUGGGAAGACGUACGACAGAUGGAGGAAGUGAAAGAUUGAAAAGGAAAGACGGAAUGUGAAGGAGGAUGGCGCUGGAUGGACGUGCCCGGGGGGUUGGUUCUGGCGUCGUCUGUGAGAGGUUGACGGUUCGGGAAGAGCAAGUGGGGGCAGUGGCGGAGCCAGUGAACGCCCGCGUGACCGCAGGAUCUUAACGAGCACCUAGGUAUUAUGGACUGCAUGUCGGGAUGUCGCCAUCCCAUCACGAGUAAGAGUGGGUAGGGUAUAUAUGUGUCUG